CUGGCGCUGGGUAACUUCUCCGGUUCCCCACGCUCCUCGAGGGCGUGGGAGGGCUGGCAGGGGCCGCCCAGGGAGGCUCGCCCGGGGAACGUCGCCGCCGGCUGGGCGUGCACCCACUUGCCCCACGGCUUCCUGGCUGCCGAGUCUGGAGUCCCAGCUUGGAGCCCAUCUGUGUUUUGGCAAAGAGACGGGCCGCUCGGUUCAUAGUUUCCACUUGGAGACGUCAGCUCUCUGCUCCCUCCAGGCUGGGAGAACGGAAGUCAGCAGCGGGAGGGUGGGGUGGUGGCCGGGUGGCCCCCAACUUGCCCGGUUGGAGAGCAAUCCGUCAGCGAGGGAAACAUGGAGAUCCGGUGGGGACUGCCGGGUCUGGCGCUCCUGUGCUUUCUGAUGCACGCACGAGGCCAAGGAGACUUUGACCUGGCAGAUGCCCUGGAUGACCCUGAACCCACCAAGAAGCCAAACUCAGAUAUCUACCCAAAGCCGAACCCCGCCGACCCCCGC
Molecule: non-coding RNA, 501 nt
Organism: Microcebus murinus (gray mouse lemur)
Lineage: Eukaryota; Metazoa; Chordata; Mammalia; Primates; Cheirogaleidae
Source: RefSeq, a predicted model, not a curated record